This is a non-coding RNA of Acanthosepion pharaonis, 101 nucleotides long. The record is from the annotation of a GenBank genome assembly. NCBI's taxonomy places the organism in Eukaryota, Metazoa, Mollusca, Cephalopoda, Sepiida, Sepiidae.
UACGGCUAUAUCACGUUGAAGCACUAGUUCGCGUACGAUCACCAAACUUAAGCAAUGUCAAGCCUGGCCAGUACUUAGAUGGGUGACCCGUUUGGAAUACU